UACUCCCUCCGUUUCAAAAUACAUGUUCAUUUUGGAGAAAUUGCACUAACCAAGAAACCAAAUAAAUUUUGUUAUUUUUGAUGAAAAUAUGUGUGUGUUUUCUAUAAUACCCUUAAUCAUUUAUUAUUUCAUUUUAUUUUUUUCUCUCUCUACAAUAAAUAUGCAAGGGUAUUAUUGACAAGACAAUAAUUAAUGUUGCAUUGAAACUUGAAAGUGACAAGUAUUUUGAAACAAAAUUAUUCUCUAAAAUGGACAAGUAUUAUGAAACGGAGGGAGUA
RNAcentral lists this long non-coding RNA (278 nucleotides) under Medicago truncatula (barrel medic). Its description in RNAcentral is "long non-coding RNA (MTRU_LNC000411)". Lineage: Eukaryota; Viridiplantae; Streptophyta; Magnoliopsida; Fabales; Fabaceae. The record is from RNAcentral.